CAUGGCUCAGAUUGAACGCUGGCGGCAGGUCUAACACAUGCAAGUCGAACGGUAACAGGAAGAAGCUUGCUCUUUGCUGACGAGUGGCGGACGGGUGAGUAAUGUCUGGGAAACUGCCUGAUGGAGGGGGAUAACUACUGGAAACGGUAGCUAAUACCGCAUAACGUCGAAAGACCAUAGAGGGGGACCUUCGGGCCUCUUACCAUCGGAUGUGCCCAGAUGGGAUUAGCUAGUAGGUGGGGUAACGGCUCACCUAGGCGACGAUCCCUAGCUGGUCCGAGAGGAUGACCAGCCACACUGGAACUGAGACACGGUCCAGACUCCUACGGGAGGCAGCAGUGGGGAAUAUGGCACAAUGGGCGCAAGCCUGAAGCAGCCAUGCCGCGUGUAUGAAGAAGGCCUUCGGGUUGUAAAGUACUUUCAGCGGGGAGGAAGGGAGUAAAGUUAAUACCUUUGCUCAUUGACGUUACCCGCCGAAGAAGCACCGGCUACCUCCGUGCCAGCAGCCGCGGUAAUACGGAGCGGUGCAAGCGUUAAUCGGAAUUACUGGGCGUAAAGCGCACGCAGGCGGUUUGUUAAGUC
This 582-nucleotide ribosomal RNA is filed under the name Escherichia coli. RNAcentral describes it as "bacterial SSU rRNA". It matches the Rfam family "Bacterial small subunit ribosomal RNA", at positions 18 to 589 of the family's 1533-position model. The record is from RNAcentral. Lineage: Bacteria; Pseudomonadati; Pseudomonadota; Gammaproteobacteria; Enterobacterales; Enterobacteriaceae.